UACAGAGACUGCAAGCGUUAUUCGGAAUUACUGGGCGUAAAGCGCGCGCAGGCGGCUAUCCAAGUCAGUGGUGAAAGCCCGGAGCUCAACUCCGGAACUGCCAUUGAAACUGUUUAGCUUGAGGACGAGAGAGGUGAGUGGAAUUCCCAGUGUAGAGGUGAAAUUCGUAGAUAUUGGGAAGAACACCGGUGGCGAAGGCGGCUCACUGGCUCGUUUCUGACGCUCAGGCGCGAUAGCGUGGGGAUCAAACAGG
RNAcentral lists this ribosomal RNA (253 nucleotides) under uncultured prokaryote. RNAcentral describes it as "partial 16S ribosomal RNA". It matches the Rfam family "Bacterial small subunit ribosomal RNA", at positions 524 to 776 of the family's 1533-position model. The record is from RNAcentral.